UGGGGAAUCUUGCACAAUGGGGGAAACCCUGAUGCAGCGACGCCGCUUGAGCGAUGAAGGUUUUCGAAUCGUAAAGCUCUGUCCUAUGGGAAGAUAAUGACGGUACCAUGGGAGGAAGCCCCGGCUAACUACGUGCCAGCAGCCGCGGUAAUACGUAGGGGGCGAGCGUUGUCCGGAAUUACUGGGCGUAAAGGGUUCGCAGGCGGCAUGGCAAGUCCGAUGUAAAAGGCGAAGGCUCAACCUUCGUAAGCAUCGGAAACUGUCAAGCUUGAGUGAAGGAGAGGCAAGUGGAAUUCCUAGUGUAGCGGUGGAAUGCGUAGAUAUUAGGAGGAAUACCGGUGGCGAAGGCGACUUGCUGGACUUAAACUGACGCUGAGGAACGAAAGCGUGGGUAGCAAACAGG
RNAcentral lists this ribosomal RNA (403 nucleotides) under Fusobacteriota bacterium. RNAcentral describes it as "Fusobacteria bacterium partial 16S ribosomal RNA". It matches the Rfam family "Bacterial small subunit ribosomal RNA", at positions 355 to 776 of the family's 1533-position model. The record is from RNAcentral. Lineage: Bacteria; Fusobacteriati; Fusobacteriota.